GUUUGUGACUCAGUGGUAGAGCGCUUGCCUAGCAUGCAUGAGGCACUGGGUUCCAUCCCCAGCACCACA
This 69-nucleotide transfer RNA is filed under the name Marmota monax (woodchuck). RNAcentral's name for it is "tRNA.Ala". The stretch from base 4 to 64 matches the Rfam family "tRNA", at positions 6 to 65 of the family's 71-position model. Rfam says of the family: Transfer RNA (tRNA) molecules are approximately 80 nucleotides in length. Their secondary structure includes four short double-helical elements and three loops (D, anti-codon, and T loops). Further hydrogen bonds mediate the characteristic L-shaped molecular structure. tRNAs have two regions of fundamental functional importance: the anti-codon, which is responsible for specific mRNA codon recognition, and the 3' end, to which the tRNAs corresponding amino acid is attached (by aminoacyl-tRNA synthetases). tRNAs cope with the degeneracy of the genetic code in two manners: having more than one tRNA (with a specific anti-codon) for a particular amino acid; and 'wobble' base-pairing, i.e. permitting non-standard base-pairing at the 3rd anti-codon position. Lineage: Eukaryota; Metazoa; Chordata; Mammalia; Rodentia; Sciuridae. The record is from RNAcentral.